GCAUUGUUGAAGAGUCCCAAAAUAGGACGAAAUAGCCAUUCAAUGC
Non-coding RNA from Schistosoma mattheei, 46 nucleotides. Lineage: Eukaryota; Metazoa; Platyhelminthes; Trematoda; Strigeidida; Schistosomatidae. The record is from Rfam.